Molecule: ribosomal RNA, 772 nt
Filed under: uncultured Neocallimastigales
Lineage: Eukaryota; Fungi; Neocallimastigomycota; Neocallimastigomycetes; Neocallimastigales
Description: partial large subunit ribosomal RNA
Rfam family: Eukaryotic large subunit ribosomal RNA
Source: RNAcentral
CGCAUCUGUGCAUGCAGCAUAUCAAUAAGCGGAGGAAAAGAAACUAACAAGGAUUCCCUCAUGUAACGGCGAGUGAAGCGGGAAGAGCUCAAAUUUGAAAUCUUGAAAGGUCACCUUUCACGAAUUGUAGUUUAAAGAAGUGUUUUCUGUUACGAUCGUAAUAUAAGUUCUUUGGAAUAGGACAUCACAGAGGGUGAGAAUCCCGUCUAUGAUUGCGAUUUGUAGCUUUGUGAUACACUUUCAAAGAGUCGGGUUGUUUGGGAAUGCAGCCCAAAACGGGAGGUAAAUUUCUUCUAAGGCUAAAUAUUGGCGAGAGACCGAUAGCGAACAAGUACCGUGAGGGAAAGAUGAAAAGAACUUUGAAAAGAGAGUUAAAUAGUACGUGAAAUUGUCAAAAGGGAAGCGUUUAACACCAGUGUUGUUUUCUGAAAAUCAACCUCUGUUAGCUUUAUGCAUGUUUGUUUAGACCUAAUCAGCUAUCUUGCAUGUUCUAUUGUUUGCAGUGGUGCACUUUUCAGUUUACAGGUCAACAUCAGUUUUUUUUACCGUAAAAAAGUUAAAGAAAGGUAGCUCAUGGCUCCGGUCGUGAGUGUUAUAGUCUUUUUCCUAUGCGGUAGGAGAGACUGAGGUCAGCAGUGUAGGCUAUUUGGCUAGAUACUCAGGUGCUAUGUGAUACCAUUUCAUAAACAACUUGUUGAUUAUGUUUUGUCUAUUGCAUACUCGCUUGUACUAUCAUACCUACGCUUAGGAUGUUGACGAUCAGCUGAGCGCG